RNAcentral lists this ribosomal RNA (301 nucleotides) under uncultured bacterium. Its description in RNAcentral is "partial 16S ribosomal RNA". It matches the Rfam family "Bacterial small subunit ribosomal RNA", at positions 509 to 807 of the family's 1533-position model. The record is from RNAcentral.
CAGCCGCCGCGGUAAUACGAAGGGUGCAAGCGUUACUCGGAAUUACUGGGCGUAAAGCGUGCGUAGGUGGUGGUUUAAGUCCGUUGUGAAAGCCCUGGGCUCAACCUGGGAAUGGCAGUGGAUACUGGCUCGCUAGAGUGUGUCAGAGGAUGGUGGAAUUCCCGGUAUAGCGGUGAAAUGCGUAGAGAUCGGGAGGAACAUCAGUGGCGAAGGCGGCCAUCUGGGACAACACUGACGCUGAGGCACGAAAGCGUGGGGAGCAAACAGGAUUAGAUACCCCAGUAGUCCCUGUCUCUUAUAC